RNAcentral lists this ribosomal RNA (268 nucleotides) under Striatella unipunctata. Its description in RNAcentral is "partial Bacterial large subunit ribosomal RNA". It matches the Rfam family "Bacterial large subunit ribosomal RNA", at positions 188 to 505 of the family's 2925-position model. Lineage: Eukaryota; Bacillariophyta; Striatellaphyceae; Striatellales; Striatellaceae. The record is from RNAcentral.
GGGAACUGAAACAUCUAAGUACCCAUAGGAAAGGACAUCAACCGAGACUCCGUUAGUAGCGGCGAGCGAACGCGGACCAGGCCAGUGGCAAUAGUAAGAAAAGCGGAAGCGUCUGGAAAGUCGUGCCGUAGUGGGUGAUAGCCCCGUACGCGUUAAUCGAUCUAUUGUCCUCGAGUAGGGCGGAACACGUGAAAUUCUGUCUGAACAUGGGGGGACCACCCUCCAAGCCUAAGUACUCCUUACCGACCGAUAGUGAACUAGUACCGUG